AAAGCAAGAACAAAGGAAGAAAAGAAAGAACAAGAACCCUAGGGUGAAAAUUCAAGAGAAAAUUGGUGGAUUUCAAGUAAUCAAGCAAUCAAAGGUAAAAUUUCUUGAUUUUGACUUGUGAUCUACCUUUCCCAUACAUUCUUUUGCAUUUUCCAUGGUUGAAUCACAUGAUUUCAUGAUGGGUAUCUUGCUGGCUGAACACUUAGAGAGAGGUUUUGAUGCUUGAUUUGGUUAGAUUUCAAUGUAUUUUAGUGUUUUUAGUUGAUUGGUGAUGUGUAGCAUGAAAAUCAAGCAAGAAAAAUUCAUGUUCUUCCAUCACCCAUCAUUGGCUGAAUUCUCCAUGUGGAAUAUUGAGGAUGAUUUUGAUUUUAUUUCAAGUGAUUUGGUUAGGAAUUAGUGAUUUAUGGUGUGAGAAUCAAGUAGGAAAAAUCAUAGUGUUGAUGCACCCACCAUGGCUGAAUUUUCCAAGAGAAAAUGUGAGGAUGAUUUUGCCAUAUUUCAAGUUAUUUAAUUUGUGUUUGAUGAUUUGGAGUAUUGGGAGAAAAAUGGAAUUAUUUGGAGUUAAAUUGGACAUAUUGGCCAAUUAAUCGGGUGAUAGAUCGAAUUAGGCCAAUAUCGUUUUAUUUAGGUACAUAAUUGAAUUUAUAUUGAACACCGUAUUUAGAUAGUUACCCAAGUAUUUCACAUCCCAUUUCAUGCAUUAGUAUAGAGCCUGAAUUGGUUUUAUAACAAUUUAGCACAAAUGUAGUAAAUGGCUUAUUGCGCAUUAUGUCUACGUGGUGAGCAUUAUGGCAAAAGUAAAGAGAUAGUACCCGAGGAUCAAGAAUCGGAGUACUCGAAAUUCGACUCACGAAAUAGUGAGUAACCUUACUAUCGUCUUAAUUAUCUAAAGUAGUUUUUAUUCAUUGUGAUUUUAUAGAAAAAUAUGUUUAAAUGGUAAAUCUUUAGGUUUUAUAAACAAAAUGUGUUUAAAUGAAAUGAUUUUAUAAAUUGUCUUGAAAUUUAAUGAUGGUUUUGAAAAUGGAGUAAUUGGAGACUAAUUGCUGUGUUAUAAAUCAUGGUUUGAAUGGAAUGGCUUAUGAUAAUAUUGGCAUGAAUGGUUGAAUUGGUAUUUGUGUUGAAAAUGCAUAAACUGUUGUUUGCCUUGAUAGGCUAGAUAAUAAUAAAAUUGCCAUGUCAUGCUAUUGAAUUUUACUGAAUUGGUGGGUUAUUGAUUAGUCGCUGCAGUGGACGGGUUUCGUAGACCAGCCUAUUAGAGGGGGCACGGUAACCCUAUUAUAUUCAUACCUCAGUAUAAGAGGCGCGGUUGGAUAACUCUUGAGGUUAACACUUUAGAGUUCACUUCACGCCAAACCACCACGUGAGGGUGAACUCAGCUAAUGCCAAGGAAUGACUAUGUUUUCAAAAUAAAAACAUGACUUAUGCGUACAUAACUUUUUAUCAGCCUUGGCGGACUCAGUUGGGAUAGCCCUCGACCAAGGUAUCCCUGAUAACUGAGUAUAAGAAUGAUUUUGGCAUGAGCCAAAGCUUUUAAUAAAUUCAUAAGCCAUGUUGAUUAUUCGAUUUAUAUGAAUUGAUUUUAUUUGGUUGAAACGAGUUGAAAGGUGAUGAAUUACAGUAUGUUAAACUAUUUUAUCUGUCUCCAUUGACUCAACUUUAGAUAUUUUAGAUGAUAUUUGUUUACUUACUGAGAUUAUAUAAUCUCACCACCCUCCUUUCCACCCAUUUCAGGCUCAUGAUAGUAGGUAAAUAGCUCACUUUGUUGAGGGCUACAGUUGGACUUGCAUCCCUAAAAACUGUAAGUUAACCGCUUUUGAUACUUUUGGUCGUUCGUGGGCCCACGUGUCACUGUAAAUUAAAUUUUAUACUUUGGUUAUCUGUAUUACAGUAUUUAUAAAUUUAUUUAGCUCUUACGCUACAAAAAUUAUAUACCGGUAACUCAUAUAUAUUGUUUUAUAAGAAAAUAGAAUAUUUUAUUGAAUAUUUUUAUUAUAUUUAAAUAGUUAAAAUUUUACUUUAAAUGAAUGUUUUAGAUAUCUAAACUUAUUUUUGAUUAUGAAAUAUGUGUUUUCCACUUACAUACUACAUUUUUAGCUAGUUUCGAGACUUUUGAGGAAAAAUGACCAAAAUGCCCCUGUGAGAAAAAAAUUAUUUUUCUAUUGUUUUGAUUUGGAAAUAGUUUAUAAUCUCUCAAAACAUGAAACUUAACAACUGUUGCUAACUACGGAGGUGUGAAAACUGAUAUUAAAGCCUUGCGGGGUUCCGGUUGACAUUUCAGGUAAUGAGUGCCGGUCGGGACACCGCGGCGGUUGUCACGGGCUCGAGGGGAGUAUUGGGUCAUGAGAAAUAACCUUAUUCAAGUCAAUCAUUUGAAAUAUUGAAUUAAAACAAUUUUACAUAAAGAAAAUUCCAUCGUCUAGAUCAAUUGACAUUUUACUCAAAUCAAAUCAAUAUAUUCGGUAAGCUCCCAUGAAAUCGAAUGUUAAUCAAACUCAUACAUAAAUCACAGAUCACCUCGCAUUAGAGGAGUUAAAAUUCAUUUCACCAUACAAAUAGAAGAGCGACAGAAAAAUUGUUAAAUUCCAUUUUCACCAUGCAAAGAAAUAUGAGUUUGAAAACCCAGAGAUGCUACUCUCGAGUAAGGAAUGAAAAUAAAACCCGUGGUCCCGUUACCACGUAAUACAUCUGAGAGCCUCGCUCCACCAGAUCCCACAUGCCAUGGUAGUCUCACGAUGUUGGCCGACAUCGGAGAAUCAAGCGAUAGCAACCGCGUAAUCAUUUGGUGGCCUAGCCACGCAUACAUAUAUCACAGGCCGUGGUCCCCACCACGCCUAACUGCCCGUUGACGACCCAACGGUUCUCUAGCUAUAGCUCACUCGUGUACGAGGGUCACAAUUAAUCGAUGUGACAUCCGACCUACUC
This 2922-nucleotide long non-coding RNA is filed under the name Theobroma cacao (cacao). RNAcentral describes it as "long non-coding RNA (TCAC_LNC001896)". The record is from RNAcentral. Lineage: Eukaryota; Viridiplantae; Streptophyta; Magnoliopsida; Malvales; Malvaceae.